This 433-nucleotide ribosomal RNA is filed under the name uncultured bacterium. RNAcentral describes it as "partial 16S ribosomal RNA". It matches the Rfam family "Bacterial small subunit ribosomal RNA", at positions 29 to 507 of the family's 1533-position model. The record is from RNAcentral.
AACGAACGCUGGCGGCAUGCCUAACACAUGCAAGUCGAACGAGACCUUCGGGUCUAGUGGCGCACGGGUGCGUAACGCGUGGGAACCUGCCCUUAGGUUCGGAAUAACUCCCCGAAAGGGGUGCUAAUACCGGAUAAUUUCUUCGGACCAAAGAUUUAUCGCCUUUGGAUGGGCCCGCGUUGGAUUAGCUAGUUGGUAGGGUAAAAGCCUACCAAGGCGACGAUCCAUAGCUGGUCUGAGAGGAUGAUCAGCCACACUGGGACUGAGACACGGCCCAGACUCCUACGGGAGGCAGCAGUGGGGAAUAUUGGACAAUGGGCGAAAGCCUGAUCCAGCAAUGCCACGUGAGUGAUGAAGGCCUUAGGGUUGUAAAGCUCUUUUAACCGGGAUGAUAAUGACAGUACCGGGAGAAUAAGCGCCGGCUAACUCCGUG